CCUGUGGCUUCUCAGCGAGUGGCCGGGAUUUAAUCACCGACGCCACCAGUGCCGCUACAACCGUCCUUGCAGGACGUGGCCUACGAGAGCAUCACGGCUCUUUGCCAUUUGUAUUGCCGGAGGUGUAUGUGCCAGCCGGGGCUGCAUCUCCCAUUACUGAGAAAAGCUUUAGCUUGGCAAGGCGUACGAGACAGGAGCGUUCGCUCAGAUGCUUUCCCAACGAGGAAGCGCGACAGCACAAGCCAAGGCCAGAGGACAAUGACCUGGACAGCUCCACUCAUGGCCAAUGGCUCUUGAUUACAAGAUCGAGCUGGCUGCUAACUUUGUGCUUUCCACUGCUGCGAGUGCUGGGAUGACGAUGGGAUCUGCCAGGAGCUCAGCGAGGGAACCUCUGCUCCACGUUGGCUACAGCCUACCUGAAUAACCCGGCUGGACUGUGAGCCAGGUCCUCAGCUGGUGGAAGUCAGCAUCCUUUUCCUGACAUCAGUGGAGCUGAGAGUCUGUCUCUGAGCGAGCCUGCGCUUCGUGCUUUCUUUCUGGGGCUGCUUUUCCCUCCUGCGAUGUCCCUCGGGCAGGGAGCGGGGUGGUGUCCUUGCAGCGCACGUGGGGCUGAUUUUGGCAGCACGUUCAAGGGACCGUCCACUCCACAUGCUGCAAAUACACUGAGGCCUCUCAGCCAUCGUCUGCCUCCAGUGACUUCCUUCCACCCCUCGGGCACAGGCGCGUUCCCACGACCGGGUCCCAACGAGGCUGUCCAGAGCAUCCACACCAUAUAGGUGAGCAAGUUGCAUCUGGGCCUCGGUUCAAAGACCUGGGGCUUUCUGUUUAACAGCAAAUGCUCCCACGUGUCAGAGCUCCUGCAUUGCCUCCCUGCUGCCUGACCACCCAGGGCUCGGCGUUACACCGCUCCUGUCUGCAUGGCUGCGCGUGGAGCGUGCGCCGAGGCUUGCCUGGGCACCGCUGAUUCGUGACCGGUUCGUGCUCCAGUCCUUGGCCCCAAAGAAACUAUUCCUUUGGUUCUUUGUUUCCCAGAGGAGCAAGGGACCGCCGGUGGCCUCCACGCAGGAGGGCCCAGCUCCUCUUCCCCCGUCCCUCUUUUUCUUUCUCUGCUGAGUGAGAGAAAAAGCCCUGCAGAAGAGCCUGUCCAAUUUUCACAGGCUGACACAUUAGUGGAGGAGAGAUCCCCUCCCCCUGAAGUCACCACUGUGUGUAAGUGUUUUAUUGUUAGCCUGUUGAGGUGCGAAUGAAGUAAUGGGCUUUCUCUGUCACUUCAUCCGUCUCCGGCUGACAGCUCUGCUUAGACACAUUGUGCUGUUCUGUAUAAACCCUGUCACCUUGCCAUCUCCGAACAGGCAGCUUCCUCUGGGAAACUGUAAUCAAGCCCUCCUGGGCACUCAGCUCGCACUGUCUGCGGCUCGUAAAUCACGGCUGCUUUCCCGGAAAGUCCGGAGAGGAGACGGACGGAUCGACACGCAUGUGCACGUGCACGCGCGCUCGCUCGCAGGGCCGCGCGAAGCUCGGACGGCUCGUGGCAGGGACAGCCGGGCACGGUGGGUUUGCACCAUUGCAGGCACUUGGAUGGGCCACAAUAUCCUGAGCUAAAAAUGUUCGGUUUGCCAUUGCAUGUCCUGAGCAGUGGACGUUAAGCAGGCACGCGUGGCUGGGCUGUGCCCUGGCAGGCACGUACCGUGCAUUUAAGGCGUGGAAGAGUAGGUGCUCAGAAGUGGAUGACGAGACGGUGUCAGAUGGGGCAGAGGGCUCCCAUGUUUGUGGCUGGGGCACUUACGUAGGACAUGGGCUAGCCUACGUCUAUCCCAGCCGUGCAGUUGGUCCCAUAAAGGGGAUCCCCAGCAGAAAGCCGCGUCUCUUGGGGGGUUACCUCUUGGAAGGCUGUCUCCAGCAGGUCUCCUUCCCUUCCCACCCCCGGCAGCCAGGAAAUCCAUGUGCCACAAGCAGAGCUGCUGUCUAACCCCCUCGGCAGCUGAAGAAGUGUACGUGAGGCUUUUCAUCAUCCACCUGGGUCUAAACAGCACGUCAGGCAGCAGACAGACCGCUGCCAUUAACAACCCAUAACGUCGGGAGCCACUCAGUGGUCGGUGGGGCCUCUCCAGGGGUCUCAUUUGUCUUGGAGAUGACACUAGCCCUCUUUCAGCCCGGGGUCUGGGAAGGCUUGCCCCUGCCUGCCGCUUCCGUCAUUAAUCACCGUUGCUUCUUUGGUGCCUAUCCGCUCUUCCAGGAGCCACCGAGCGCUGAGGAAGCCAGCCCGAGCAGAGAGCAAAUGGCCAGCAUGGCUGGGGCAGUGUCCUCAUGCCAGCGUGGGGGAGAGGGAUCCUCCUCCUGCCCCGGGGAAACUUUCCUGAGCGCUGCAGGUCCUGCGCUCCUCGGGUCACAAGGCCCCUGGAUACCAUCUGCAUGCUGCCCACAUGCAGGCCAGCAUCCCAGAGCCCAGGAGGAGUGUGUACAGGACCAGGGAGCUCUCCUGGCCUGGCCUGGGAUGCAAACAGCCUCUAUUUUUGCCAGCAGGAUGCAAAUGUACAUCUGUCCCCACUGAGCACAGCCCAGCUUCAAUUGUGUUUCUUUAGCUUCUACCUCCUGCCCCAGGAGUGACCGGUGACUUCCAGUCUGUCCAGCUUAGAGCCGAGCUGGUUAAAUCAAACGAAGAUACUGAUUGUGGUCCUUUGGUGCCUGAAGAUUCGUUCAGCUUCCAGGUAGUGGGAGAAACCUUGUCGAUCCCAUCAUUUCCCAGAUUUUAGUAGAAAAGUUUAUGCCUCCAAAAAAUUGCAUCAGAAAGUAUAACGUGAUUCAGAGGGAGAAAUGCUAAGCACAAGCAUACCACGCAUCAUUGCUUAUCAUAUUCUGCGGGCAUUUCAGUCACCCAAGCAAGGAGUAGCAGCACGUGCCCAAGCGCAGAGCACAAAUUAGGAAGACCGUGCAAACAGCCCAGACAUCGCUGGAGGCGAUUCCCUCGCGCUAUUCAGCAUGUGCUGACAAGGAGUAAAUCCAGCCAAAGGGACUGGGUUGACUUCAGGAACCUUUUGCCCAGCGGAAAUGGGAUCGUGCUGGUGAAGUGUGCAGUGGCGAUAUCCAUUUCCUGAUACCUGAAAUGGUGAUCAAGGCGCCAAGGGCCAGGUCAGGGACACAGGUGAUUGUCCGAGGGUAGAGUCGAGUUGUGAAAUGCUAGAGGAUUUUUACUGUUAUGUGUCUCUCUGUAAACCCCAGCAGCAUAAUGCCAGGGCUUUGCUUCCCUUCUCUGAGCCCCUGGCAGAGGGGCUGUGCUGGGCUGCGACAGAGGUGGUGCAGCCCAGGUCCAAAGGACGGGGUAGCGUCGGCCUGCAAAACGCGGGAGCCAGCAAUAGAAAGAGAAAGAGCAUGAGUGCAAACUCUUGCUCCAGAGUAGCUGGCUGGGAGACAGGGAUCUGCGCUGCGAUGAUGGAGCUUCAGCUACUAACAUAAAUAGGAGAGAAGGGAAGGGAGCUGAGUGGGAGUCUUGGCAUGUCCAUGAAAUACAAGAGGACAUUAUGCCUCAUUUAGGAGACUGCAGCGGCCGGCUGAUAUUAAACUGGAGCAUGGUGCAUUAACCUGGGAUUAGGAGAAGAAUAACGAUCAGCUGUCCAGCCCUGUCAUCCCUCACCGUGACGGGCACUCGGAGAACUCGCCUUUAUGAUCCUGGAAGCUCAGCCAGGCACAAUAGGGAAGGAGCGGUUGCUCUAACACAAUCUCACCCGAGGCGGCUGCCAGGAGAGGAGCCAUAGCCAGCGAAAGGAAGUGAGCCCAGACCCCGUAUAUCCAGCCCGACUCAGGAAACCAUCAGCAUGAUAUGCAGCUCUCAUUAAAGGGGAAUAAACGGAGCAGAGAAUUCAAACAUAAAUUUGGCUUUGCUGAUUUCAAACUUUACACAAGCUCUCCGACCGGACGGGUUCCCCACGGACCCCGUGCCGAGCUCUGUACUGUCUCUGAUUUAUAA
Alligator mississippiensis (American alligator) is the source of this 3964-nucleotide long non-coding RNA. RefSeq lists it as uncharacterized. The transcript is spliced from 3 exons. NCBI's taxonomy places the organism in Eukaryota, Metazoa, Chordata, Crocodylia, Alligatoridae. The record is from RefSeq and is a predicted model, not a curated record.